Molecule: unclassified non-coding RNA, 566 nt
Filed under: Hevea brasiliensis (rubber tree)
Lineage: Eukaryota; Viridiplantae; Streptophyta; Magnoliopsida; Malpighiales; Euphorbiaceae
Source: RNAcentral
AAAUAACCAGAUGAGAAGAAUAUUUUUUUAUUAUCCACUAUAAUAUACAAAAACUUACAUUGUGCAUGGUAACAUAACUCAAGCUCAAGAAACCAAGAGCAUAAUAACUUUAGAAAACUACUUAUCACAUGCAACCUAGUUCAUGUGAAAGCUAAAAUGGUCCUAGCGACCACAUGGUAUCAGUAGCAUACUCACAUAGCAGAGACUGAGCUCAAAUUCACAGACUUUGCAUGCAUUGCAACAGUGGGUUUUCUCAUCUACAAGUGAAACUCAGGAUUUGCAAAGCAAAUAAAGAAAACAUCAUGGUUCAGUCAGAUAGAUAGCUCAUGGCCAUACAAAAAUAGGUUCUUUGUUACAAUUGCAAAAGGAUCUAUGUCUGAAAUACUUGUUAGUUUUCAUCCAUCAGCAUAAAUCAAACUACGAAAUCCUAAUAAGCAACACUUAUAAAUUAGUGUGAAGACAUCCCUAAAGGACAAAUAAUUGAUACGUACUGGGCAUGUGAUGGAAUAGGGUGAAAGAAGCAAUUCUGAAAUUUGAAACGUAAACAUAAUUGAAUGGGUAAUUAC